RNAcentral lists this unclassified non-coding RNA (276 nucleotides) under Hevea brasiliensis (rubber tree). Lineage: Eukaryota; Viridiplantae; Streptophyta; Magnoliopsida; Malpighiales; Euphorbiaceae. The record is from RNAcentral.
AGCGGCCAUUGCGCGGGUCGAACCGCACGCUGGUCGCGCGCAUGUCGCCGGUAUGCGCGGCGUCGAGCUGCAAUUCGCGCAGGUCGCGCUCGAAGGUGACGGAGAUGUUGGCGGCGUCGCCGAAGCCGUUGCGCCGUUCAAGCACGCGAGCGAUCUGCUGUUCGAUCUCUUUCGAAAUGAGCGUACGCGAGGAGCGGGUGAUCGACACUUCGCGGAGGUCGCGGGUGUCGACGCCGAUCACCUGAUGCGCGCGCAGCACGUUAAGAAGCUGCGCGG